CAACUCUCCAUCCAAAUAACAAUUUAUAAAAGUAAACCAUUAUAGGUCAAUGUACGGUCUUCAACAUUGAGCCUUGGCUCACACCGAACAACAAGCUAUACAGGGCCCCGAAAUUACUAGACCAUUCAAACGGGAAACCAACGGUCUAAUAUAUAUAUAAAAAAAACCCCGAGAAACGAGAAACACGUAUAAAUUACAUAAACUAACGACAACUACUGCACAUCAGAUUCCUUUUUUAUAAAACUUAUUGUAACGACUUCAAAAAUAGUCAAAGGAAUAUAAGACAAAUACCGAAUGUUUUGUUGUUGAUGAUACAAAGACCACUACAAGCUAUGCGACAAAUUGUUUGUGUAGUAAUAGUUUUUUAACAGC
This 372-nucleotide long non-coding RNA is filed under the name Mytilus galloprovincialis (Mediterranean mussel). The record is from RNAcentral. Lineage: Eukaryota; Metazoa; Mollusca; Bivalvia; Mytilida; Mytilidae.